Long non-coding RNA from Lagenorhynchus albirostris (white-beaked dolphin), 900 nucleotides. RefSeq lists it as uncharacterized. The record is from RefSeq and is a predicted model, not a curated record. The transcript is spliced from 2 exons. Lineage: Eukaryota; Metazoa; Chordata; Mammalia; Artiodactyla; Delphinidae.
AAAUUGCAUCCCUCCAGUCUUGAGUCCACUCCACAGUGUACCUUGCCAUCGUCAAGAGCACGAGAUUUAGAAUCAGAUGGACCCGGGUUAGUAUUCUGGGGCUGCCGUUUUGCCAGCCAUGUGAUUUUGACCCUGUGAUUUCUAGCUUCAAUGAGUCUGUCUGUAAAAUGGGGAUAGUAAUACCUACCUGUGGCCCAUGCUUUCUGCUGUCUCCUCUGUACCCACUGCCUCUCUGCUGCACAGAACCUUGAUAGGUUCAGGUGAGAGGAAGGAGGCCCCAGAUCUCAGGGAAGCUGCAAUCCCAGCCUCAUGAGAUGAAUCAAGAUUGGUUAAAACCAAAUACAGUAACGGCAGGGGGAGCUCAUUCUUAUCUUUUCUUCCUGCCUGGAUCUUGGACACGAUACCUGGAGGUACAGCAGCCGUCUUGCAACCAUGAGGCGACGGGUCAACAGACUAAAAUGGUGGAGGGGAAAAGAUAGAGUCUGGAUCUUUGACAGCACUCUUAAGUGGUUCCACCAGCCCAAGACAGAAGACUACUACUUCCAGACUUUGUUACUGAAACACUUCCUACUUGUUUAUGCCACUCUUAAGCGGAGUUGUCUUUUAGUUGCUGCUGAAAGCAUUUCUAAUAGAUAUGCAGAUUUCCACCAAAGCACAGUGUUGGACAGCUUCAUAUGGUGCUAAAGAGCCUAAAUUCCAGAGCCGGAGUUUCUGGGUUCUGGUCUCAGCUCUGCCACUAACGAGCUGUAUGACCUGGGCAAGUCGCUUAGCUUCUCUGUGACUCACUGUCCUGAUCUAUACAACGCUCACUCAAUGUGUGCUGAGUAUUGGGUGAAGGAUAAUAGCCGUACGUCCCUUGUACGAUAGUUAGGAGCAUUAAAUGACUAAAUGUUGUUUUUU